GCAAGAGCUCAGAUUUGAAAUCGUGCUUUGCGGCACGAGUUGUAGAUUGCAGGUUGGAGUCUGUGUGGAAGGCGGUGUCCAAGUCCCUUGGAACAGGGCGCCCAGGAGGGUGAGAGCCCCGUGGGAUGCCGGCGGAAGCAGUGAGGCCCUUCUGACGAGUCGAGUUGUUUGGGAAUGCAGCUCCAAGCGGGUGGUAAAUUCCAUCUAAGGCUAAAUACUGGCGAGAGACCGAUAGCGAACAAGUACUGUGAAGGAAAGAUGAAAAGCACUUUGAAAAGAGAGUGAAACAGCACGUGAAAUUGUUGAAAGGGAAGGGUAUUGCGCCCGACAUGGGGAUUGCGCACCGCUGCCUCUCGUGGGCGGCGCUCUGGGCUUUCCCUGGGCCAGCAUCGGUUUUUGCUGCAGGAGAAGGGGUUCUGGAACGUGGCUCUUCGGAGUGUUAUAGCCAGGGCCAGAUGCUGCGUGCGGGGACCGAGGACUGCGGCCGUGUAGGUCACGGAUGCUGGCA
Molecule: ribosomal RNA, 508 nt
Filed under: Pichia kudriavzevii
Lineage: Eukaryota; Fungi; Ascomycota; Pichiomycetes; Pichiales; Pichiaceae
Description: eukaryotic LSU rRNA
Rfam family: Eukaryotic large subunit ribosomal RNA
Source: RNAcentral